Molecule: ribosomal RNA, 301 nt
Filed under: uncultured bacterium
Lineage: Bacteria
Description: partial 16S ribosomal RNA
Rfam family: Bacterial small subunit ribosomal RNA
Source: RNAcentral
CAGUCGCCACGGUAAUACGUAGGUGGCAAGCGUUGUCCGGAAUUAUUGGGCGUAAAGGGCUCGCAGGCGGUUUCUUAAAUCUGAUGUGAAAGCCCCCGGCUCAACCGGGGAGGGUCAUUGGAAACUGGGACACUUGAGUGCAGAAGAGGAGAGUGGAAUUCCACGUGUAGCGGUGAAAUGCGUAGAGAUGUGGAGGAACACCAGUGGCGAAGGCGACUCUCUGGUCUGUAACUGACGCUGAGGAGCGAAAGCGUGGGGAGCGAACAGGAUUAGAGACCCCGGUAGUCCCUGUCUCUUAUAC